Molecule: ribosomal RNA, 253 nt
Filed under: uncultured bacterium
Lineage: Bacteria
Description: partial 16S ribosomal RNA
Rfam family: Bacterial small subunit ribosomal RNA
Source: RNAcentral
UACGGAGGGAGCAAGCGUUGUUCGGAAUCAUUGGGCGUAAAGGGCGCGUAGGCGGUCCGGUAAGUCGGGUGUGAAAGCCCCGGGCUCAACCCGGGAAGUGCAAUCGAAACUGCCGGACUUGAGUACGGGAGGGGGAAGUUGAAUUCCUGGUGUAGGGGUGAAAUCCGUAGAUAUCAGGAGGAACACCGGUGGCGAAGGCGACUUCCUGGACCGAUACUGACGCUGAGGCGCGAAAGCGUGGGGAUCAAACAGG